CGGACGGUAUCUGCGUCAAUAUU
RNAcentral lists this microRNA (23 nucleotides) under Drosophila erecta. RNAcentral's name for it is "der-miR-311c-5p". Its record names the gene der-miR-311a-5p. RNAcentral also lists the same sequence under 1 other name. The record is from miRBase by way of RNAcentral. Lineage: Eukaryota; Metazoa; Arthropoda; Insecta; Diptera; Drosophilidae.